RNAcentral lists this ribosomal RNA (439 nucleotides) under uncultured bacterium. Its description in RNAcentral is "partial 16S ribosomal RNA". It matches the Rfam family "Bacterial small subunit ribosomal RNA", at positions 339 to 795 of the family's 1533-position model. The record is from RNAcentral.
CUACGGGACGCAGCAGUGGGGAAUAUUGCACAAUGGACGAAAGUCUGAUGCAGCAACGCCGCGUGGAGGAUGACACAUUUCGGUGCGUAAACUCCUUUUAUAUCCCAAGAUAAUGACGGUAGGAUAUGAAUAAGCGCCGGCUAACUCCGUGCCAGCAGCCGCGGUAAUACGGAGGGCGCAAGCGUUACUCGGAAUCACUGGGCGUAAAGAGCGUGUAGGCGGAUAGAUAAGUUGGGAGUGAAAUCCUAUGGCUUAACCAUAGAAUUGCUUCCAAAACUGUCUAUCUAGAAUAUGGGAGAGGUAGAUGGAAUUUCUGGUGUAGGGGUAAAAUCCGUAGAGAUCAGAAGGAAUACCGAUUGCGAAGGCGAUCUACUGGAACAUUAUUGACGCUGAGACGCGAAAGCGUGGGGAGCAAACAGGAUUAGAUACCCUUGUAGUC